GGCUGGGGCUCAGUGGCACAGCGCUCGCCUAGCACAUGUGAGGCACUGGGUUCAAUCCCCUGCGCCA
RNAcentral lists this transfer RNA (67 nucleotides) under Marmota monax (woodchuck). RNAcentral describes it as "tRNA.Ala". The record is from RNAcentral. Lineage: Eukaryota; Metazoa; Chordata; Mammalia; Rodentia; Sciuridae.